CGCCGAACAUAGGGGUGUUUUGCAUGCACGUUAGGCCGCCGAAGGAGGUUUGGCUGGCCACCUAUAAAAGCCCCUCAGACCGAAAAUGGGCGAGUUUUCUCCCCAUUCUCGAGCUCAGGUGUGUUUAUGUCCUCCUUUGGUCAUUUUCAUGUUUUUUCUUCAUCCCCUUCAUAUUUUUAUGAGUUCCAUGGUUGUUUUGAAGAGUUUUCAAGCUUAGAUCAAAGUUUUGGGAGCUUGGAGACCCAAGGAGUAGUUUCCUCCCAUCUCCAAGUUAGAGCUCGCACAAACCCUCGAUCUUCAAGAGGUAAGUGUGGAUCUAUGCUUUUCUUUACGUUUCAUGAAGUUUUAAGUGAGUUUUAAGAGGUUUUGAUGAUUGAGUAUGGGUAGAUAUGCAUGUUAGGGUUUAUGUGGGUUUUAUGCCCAAUGUAUGUUCAUGUGAUGUUUGUGUUGGGGUUUAAGUUAGUUUUCAAGCCCCUUGAGCAUAUGGGAGAGAGUAUGCAUGAUUGGGAGAGAGUAUGUGAGGUUUGGUUUGUUUUAGUGGUUUUGGCUUAUGUGGGUCAUAAGCUCGUUAUGUAUGUUUCUUGAUGUUGUUUUUAGGAGUUUAAGCUUGUUUAAGCUCCUUUGUGCAUGGUUAAGGAAGAAUGCAUGUGUUUGAGAAAUUGGGUGCUUGUUUUGGGGUGUAUGGAAGGUUUGGGAGGCUUGAAAUGCACAAAGGCUGAGUUCUGGAUGAACUCAGGUUCGGCCGCCGAAGGUGGUUUCGGCCGCCGAACCUGCCUGAGGAUGCAUGGUUUGGCCGCCUAACCUUGCCCCCGAAAGUUGAGUUUUGGCUUGAAAGCAGACUUUCGGCCGCCGAAGGUGAAGUUCAGCCGCCGAAAGUGCCUGACUUUCGUCUCUGGAGAAGGACUUUCGGCCGCCGAAAGUGCCCGAGUUUCGCCUCUGGAGAGAGGGUUCGGCCGCCGAAGGUGCCGCCGAAAGUGCCCUGUCCAGCCUUUUCAUGAAUGUUUUCUAUGCAUGUUUAAGUGAUGCUUUAGGGGGUUUUUGGGUAGUUGUUUAUGAGUUGUUUAGAGCAUGUUUGGCACCUCACUAGUGUAACGACCCGGAAACCGGUACCCCUCAGUAACGGUCCGAACCAUCACUGGCACUAGGAUCCAGAUCGGCUUAAGGCCGCCGGGACCCGUAGCAAGCCGACUAUACUCUCUGUGUACCUGAUAAAUCCCAAACAUGCUACAAAUAGACUCAACAAUCCUGUAAAACUCUGUAGGCUUAAUUGCUGCUACUCAGAUAUGUCAAUCUGAAAUGGCCCUCAGGGCCUAUACCAGGGACUACUAUCUGCUGUGGGUCAUGGGAAUGAAACCCUUGUAAUCUGUAACACAUUCCACUGGUAUCUCAUCGAAGCCAUACAUUAAGCCUAACUCACACAUUUCUCAUCAAGAAACGUAAAACAGGAUUCAUGUACAGGGGAUUAAGCAUACAUCACGCAACAGCAAAAACACUAGGGAAAGCACAAGUCUAACCGUAUAUGACAGUACAGAUCUAUACAGUACUACAUUAAGCCUAACUCACACAUUUCUCAUCAAGAAACGUAAAACAGGAUUCAUGUACAGGGGAUUAAGCAUACAUCACGCAACAGCAAAAACACUAGGGAAAGCACAAGUCUAACCGUAUAUGACAGUACAGAUCUAUACAGUACAUGACAGUUAAUCUUUUAAUUACAUCAUGUCCACUACACUAUUACAGCAUACAUUCAAGCACAACUUUCCUCUGUACUCUUGCUGACUUUGAUUUCCCAUAGCUAUCUCAGGACCUGCAAAACUGGGGUAAGGGAGUGGGAUGAGCUCUAGAGCCCAGUGAGGAGGAACAAUACAACCAUUCAUUAAUUACAUGUUCGCAUGAAAUGCAUCACAUCACAAUCAUAUCAGCUCAAAGAUGAACUUGUCACCAGUAGCCCUCAACUACAUGUUAGAAUACCAAUAGUGCCAAGGAGACAAUGUCAUCACCUGGUCUACACUUAUCUCUCUGAUAUCAUAGCAUGACUAACUGUGCCAAGGAGACGAGGUCUCACCUGGUCUACACUUCACUCUGAUCUGACAGCCCAGCUGUCUCACUCAUAGUACCAGGAGCGACCUGGACUAUCCAGGGGCGACCUGGUAUGGCUAUCUCAUGCCAUAACUCUGUAUCUGCUCUCUGUCAAGGGCUAAGGAUCAUCCAACAUUCAUCCACAGGAACAACAACAUAUGCAAUGCAUCAUAUUCGUGAAGUCUAAUGCACACAACCUAAUAUAUAACAUGGCAGUUUAUGAUGUAUGGAUCAUGCUAGAAUUAUGUCAUUUCUUAAGAUCAAUAUUCAGUUUAGUUCCACUCACCUGUAGCCACUGCUUGGCUAACUCUGGGCUACCUCUAAUUCUGAAACAGCUACGACGACUGCUAAACACCUCGGUUCCUCGGGUCCAAUCCUACAAUGGAGGACGCAAAUGAGGCACCAAACAUACUCUAUGCCACUGAUCAACAAUUCCCUAAAACCCCUCUAGAACACCUCAAAACAUGCAUGCAAAACAAGCAAAGGAAGGCUGGACAGGGCACCUUCGGCGGCACCUUCGGCGGCCGAAUGUCUCCUCCAGAGACGAAAGUCAGGCAUGUUCGGCGGCCUAACUUGGACUUUCGGCGGCCGAACCUGAGUUCAUCCAGAACUCAGUUUCGUGCACAAGGACGCCUGCCAGUCCCUCCAUCACCUGCUCAGCCCUCAAUACAUGCAGUUAACCCCUCUAAAACAUGCAUAAACACUUUAACAAGCAUAAAGGAGCAUCAAACAACUUAAACGCCAACAAAACAAUACACAUAACAUGCGUACACCAUUAAAACAUCACAACUAUACCUAACACCUCUAUAAACCUAUAUAAACAACUCUACCCUUUACCUCCUUACAAGCUGUUCAUAAACCAUGAAAACAAGGUAAAAGCUUCCCUUACCUCUUGAAACCAGAUGCUGGGACACCCUAAACACUGAACUAUGGCCACCACGACUUCACCUUCACCACACCUCCAACACUCUUCUUUUCUCUCAAAACCUUUCAACCCACUUAGACACAACCAACCCUCUGCAUAAGCUGAUAAAAGCUUGCAGAUGAGUCAAGGGAGACGUGGCCUACCCUCUGGUCAUGAUCUGGAGGUGAACACCUGGCCAAACCACGGACUGAGGAGUGUGCACAACUAACCGACCACCUCAGCUUCGGCUGCCGAAACUGCAUGCAAAACCAUGCAACUUUCGGGGGCCGAACAUAACCUUCGGGGGCCGAACCUUGGGCACUUUCGGCGGCCGAACUUAACCUUCGGGGGCCGAACAUGACAAAAACUCCUUUGGCCAAUUCUCCACGAAACUCAACUCGGUUUCUACGCUAAACCUUACAACGUCUUAAAAACAUUUAGCAACUCUUUCUAAUACCGUACUAGAAGUCUCUGACAUCCCCGAAUUCCACCGGACGGUAGGAAUUCCAAUGUCUGACUUAGCCGGGUAUUACAACUAGAGUCCACCUGUGUAGGAUCGGACCCGAGGAACCGAGGUGUUUAGCAGUGUUAGUUGCUUCAGAGUUAGUCCAGAGCUAGCCAGAGGUGAGUGGAACUAACCCUCAUGUUUUAAAUCAAAUGUUUUCAGCAUGUUCAAGUAUGUUCAUGCAUCAUGAAUACCAUGUUAUGCAAUAGGUUGUUUGCAUUAGAAUUCACGAAUAUGAUGCAUUGCAUAAUACGAUGAUGAUGAUGUGGAUGGAUACUGGAUGAUCCUCUAGCCCUCAGUAUGUUAUGACAUGAUAUGAAAUGAUAUGAUAUGGCAUGUACGAUAUGAUAUGAGAUGAGAAGUCCAGGUGUGGCCGUAUCGCCCCUGGCAUAGAGUAUGAGAAGUCCAGGUGUGGCCGUAUCGCCCCUGGCAUAGAGUAUGUGGAGUCCAGGCGUGGCCGUAUCGCCCCUGGCAUAGAGUAUUGUUGACUUGUUAUGGUACGAGAUUGAUAUGUAGAGGGCUAUGGGUGACAGAUUCAUCCUUGAGGUGAUAUAUUUGUGAUGUGACGCAUUCCAUGAUAGCAUACGUUAAAAUGAACUGUUUUCUUUUAUGGUUUCUGCUCACUGGGCUUUUUAGCUCACCCCUCUCCCCUAACCCCAGGCUUGCAGGGUCAGAGGUAGUUCAGGAAGACGACAAGAUAUGGUUAUGGUUAUGACAUGUAAUAGAAUAGUAGUGGACAUGAUGUAAUGUAAGGUUAUGUAUUGAUGUAAAAAGAGUUGUAUUGCAUAAUGAUAUUAUGUUAUAUGUUCAGAGUUAUAGUAUUGUGCUUGGCCCGAGUUGGUUAAUCCCUUUGUACAUGAGUUUUAUGUUAUGUUGAUAUAUGUGUUAGACCGAGUUUGACAUAGGGUAUGCUGACCCUAGGGGUUCUAUGAGUUCAGUCAUAGUGCAUACACAGGUCAAACUGGUUAAAGGUCAAGUUUUAAAUGUUUUAUGGUUAUGUUUGAUCAUGUUUGGGAUUAUACUAACUGUACAGGAUGUAUGUUAGGCUUGCUACGGGUCCCGGCGACCUUAAAUCGACCUGGAUCCUAGCGCCGGUAGUGGUCCGGAUUUCCAGGUCGUUACA
Molecule: long non-coding RNA, 4608 nt
Filed under: Manihot esculenta (cassava)
Lineage: Eukaryota; Viridiplantae; Streptophyta; Magnoliopsida; Malpighiales; Euphorbiaceae
Description: long non-coding RNA (MESC_LNC004675)
Source: RNAcentral